This 2313-nucleotide ribosomal RNA is filed under the name Salmonella enterica. RNAcentral's name for it is "partial 23S ribosomal RNA". It matches the Rfam family "Bacterial large subunit ribosomal RNA". The record is from RNAcentral. Lineage: Bacteria; Pseudomonadati; Pseudomonadota; Gammaproteobacteria; Enterobacterales; Enterobacteriaceae.
UCCACAUACGCAUCCUUUGCUGAGGAUACGGUUAACGGAGCGCAAGCGACGUUCAACCGCAAAAGAAGCAGAGGGGGCUUAGUGGUGGGGUGACUGCGUACCUUUUGUAUAAUGGGUCAGCGACUUAUAUUCUGUAGCAAGGUUAACCGAAUAGGGGAGCCGGAGGGAAACCGAGUCUUAAUUGGGCGUUAAGUUGCAGGGUAUAGACCCGAAACCCGGUGAUCUAGCCAUGGGCAGGUUGAAGGUUGGGUAACACUAACUGGAGGACCGAACCGACUAAUGUUGAAAAAUUAGCGGAUGACCUGUGGCUGGGGGUGAAAGGCCAAUCAAACCGGGAGAUAGCUGGUUCUCCCCGAAAGCUAUUUAGGUAGCGCCUCGUGAAUUCAUCUCCGGGGGUAGAGCACUGUUUCGGCUAGGGGGCCAUCCCGGCUUACCAACCCGAUGCAAACUGCGAAUACCGGAGAAUGUUAUCACGGGAGACACACGGCGGGUGCUAACGUCCGUCGUGAAGAGGGAAACAACCCAGACCGCCAGCUAAGGUCCCAAAGUCAUGGUUAAGUGGGAAACGAUGUGGGAAGGCCCAGACAGCCAGGAUGUUGGCUUAGAAGCAGCCAUCAUUUAAAGAAAGCGUAAUAGCUCACUGGUCGAGUCGGCCUGCGCGGAAGAUGUAACGGGGCUAAACCAUGCACCGAAGCUGCGGCAGCGACACUCAGGUGUUGUUGGGUAGGGGAGCGUUCUGUAAGCCUGCGAAGGUGGCCUGUGAGGGUUGCUGGAGGUAUCAGAAGUGCGAAUGCUGACAUAAGUAACGAUAAAGCGGGUGAAAAGCCCGCUCGCCGGAAGACCAAGGGUUCCUGUCCAACGUUAAUCGGGGCAGGGUGAGUCGACCCCUAAGGCGAGGCCGAAAGGCGUAGUCGAUGGGAAACGGGUUAAUAUUCCCGUACUUGGUGUUACUGCGAAGGGGGGACGGAGAAGGCUAUGUUGGCCGGGCGACGGUUGUCCCGGUUUAAGCGUGUAGGCUGGUUUUCCAGGCAAAUCCGGAAAAUCAAGGCUGAGGCGUGACGACGAGGCACUACGGUGCUGAAGCAACAAAUGCCCUGCUUCCAGGAAAAGCCUCUAAGCAUCAGGUAACACGAAAUCGUACCCCAAACCGACACAGGUGGUCAGGUAGAGAAUACCAAGGCGCUUGAGAGAACUCGGGUGAAGGAACUAGGCAAAAUGGUGCCGUAACUUCGGGAGAAGGCACGCUGACAUGUAGGUGAAGUGAUUUACUCAUGGAGCUGAAGUCAGUCGAAGAUACCAGCUGGCUGCAACUGUUUAUUAAAAACACAGCACUGUGCAAACACGAAAGUGGACGUAUACGGUGUGACGCCUGCCCGGUGCCGGAAGGUUAAUUGAUGGGGUCAGCGCAAGCGAAGCUCCUGAUCGAAGCCCCGGUAAACGGCGGCCGUAACUAUAACGGUCCUAAGGUAGCGAAAUUCCUUGUCGGGUAAGUUCCGACCUGCACGAAUGGCGUAAUGAUGGCCAGGCUGUCUCCACCCGAGACUCAGUGAAAUUGAACUCGCUGUGAAGAUGCAGUGUACCCGCGGCAAGACGGAAAGACCCCGUGAACCUUUACUAUAGCUUGACACUGAACAUUGAGCCUUGAUGUGUAGGAUAGGUGGGAGGCUUUGAAGUGUGGACGCCAGUCUGCAUGGAGCCGACCUUGAAAUACCACCCUUUAAUGUUUGAUGUUCUAACGUGGACCCGUGAUCCGGGUUGCGGACAGUGUCUGGUGGGUAGUUUGACUGGGGCGGUCUCCUCCUAAAGAGUAACGGAGGAGCACGAAGGUUGGCUAAUCCUGGUCGGACAUCAGGAGGUUAGUGCAAUGGCAUAAGCCAGCUUGACUGCGAGCGUGACGGCGCGAGCAGGUGCGAAAGCAGGUCAUAGUGAUCCGGUGGUUCUGAAUGGAAGGGCCAUCGCUCAACGGAUAAAAGGUACUCCGGGGAUAACAGGCUGAUACCGCCCAAGAGUUCAUAUCGACGGCGGUGUUUGGCACCUCGAUGUCGGCUCAUCACAUCCUGGGGCUGAAGUAGGUCCCAAGGGUAUGGCUGUUCGCCAUUUAAAGUGGUACGCGAGCUGGGUUUAGAACGUCGUGAGACAGUUCGGUCCCUAUCUGCCGUGGGCGCUGGAGAACUGAGGGGGGCUGCUCCUAGUACGAGAGGACCGGAGUGGACGCAUCACUGGUGUUCGGGUUGUCAUGCCAAUGGCACUGCCCGGUAGCUAAAUGCGGAAGAGAUAAGUGCUGAAAGCAUCUAAGCACGAAACUUGCCCCGA